AUUUUGUGAUUUGCACUGGCUGAGAUCUGGAACAAGACAAAGCACAGCUGUGAAUUUGCUUUCUCUUCUCUAUACAACAUGACUUGCUGGCAGCCUGACUGCUUCACAGAUGAACUGUCAACCCCUCUGGGAGCCUGUCUUAGAAGACUUUUCUCCAACCAAUUGCAAGCAGGAGGAAGACCACCAAAUGGAUAUUAGAAUGGAGACCUAGCUAGCACCCAGCAGAGACAGGACUGGGCAAGGAAUGCCAGGGAAGGGAAUAUUCAGACCUCCUGGAAAAGAUUGGAUGUGCUGAGAGGGACUAAAACUACCACAGAAGCAGCAAUGAAAGCAACAGCAGUCUUUCUCAAGACAAGUCUACAAAAUGAUACUCCAAAAUAUGGAAGUCUCGAGCCUUCAGAUAACAAUUCUGGCUAUCCUGCUAUAGAAAAUCCAAGAAGAAUCUCUCAAACUACAAAGAAAAGAAAAGGUGACUAAAGAUGACUGUCUCUGGCCUUCCAACC
This is a long non-coding RNA of Talpa occidentalis (Iberian mole), 503 nucleotides long. RefSeq lists it as uncharacterized. The record is from RefSeq and is a predicted model, not a curated record. The transcript is spliced from 4 exons. Lineage: Eukaryota; Metazoa; Chordata; Mammalia; Eulipotyphla; Talpidae.